CGGGACGCUGCAGCAGUCAGGAAUAUUCCGCAAUGGACGAAAGUCUGACGGAGCGACGCCGCGUGCAGGAAGAAGCCCUUCGGGGUGUAAACUGCUUUUAUGUGGGAAGAAUUUGUGACGGUACCACAUGAAUAAGAGGUUGCUAACUCUGUGCCAGCAGCAGCGGUAAUACAGAGACCUCAAACGUUGUCCGGAUUCAUUGGGCGUAAAGCGUCCGCAGGUUGUUUGGAAAGUUAUUGGUCAAAUCCUGAUGCUCAACAUCAGGACUGCUGAUAAUACUAUCAGACUUGAGGCUGGGAGAGGCAAGCGGAACUAUCGGUGUAGUCGUAAUAAGCGCUGAUAUCGAUAGGAACACCAAAGGCAAAGGCAGCUUGCUAGAACAUGCCUGACACUCAUGGACGAAAGCGUGGGUAGCGAAUGGGAUUAGAUACCCUAGUAGUC
RNAcentral lists this ribosomal RNA (441 nucleotides) under uncultured bacterium. RNAcentral describes it as "partial 16S ribosomal RNA". It matches the Rfam family "Bacterial small subunit ribosomal RNA", at positions 342 to 795 of the family's 1533-position model. The record is from RNAcentral.